UACGUAGGUGGCGAGCGUUAUCCGGAAUGAUUGGGUUUAAAGGGUGCGUAGGCGGACUGUCAAGUCAGCGGUAAAAUUGAGAGGCUCAACCUCUUCCCGCCGUUGAAACUGGUGGUCCUGAGUGGAUGAGAAGUACGCGGAAUGCGUGGUGUAGCGGUGAAAUGCAUAGAUAUCACGCAGAACUCCGAUUGCGAAGGCAGCGUACCGGCAUCCAACUGACGCUGAGGCACGAAAGCGUGGGGAUCAAACAGG
RNAcentral lists this ribosomal RNA (252 nucleotides) under uncultured bacterium. Its description in RNAcentral is "partial 16S ribosomal RNA". It matches the Rfam family "Bacterial small subunit ribosomal RNA", at positions 524 to 776 of the family's 1533-position model. The record is from RNAcentral.